Molecule: non-coding RNA, 136 nt
Organism: Hordeum vulgare subsp. vulgare (domesticated barley)
Lineage: Eukaryota; Viridiplantae; Streptophyta; Magnoliopsida; Poales; Poaceae
Source: Rfam
GUUAUACUCCCUGCGUCCCAAAAUUCUUUUCUUAAAUUUGUCUAGAUAUGAAUGUAUAUAGUCACAUUUUAGUAUUUAGAUACAUCUAUUUCUAGACCAAUGUAAGACAAUAAUUUUAGGACGGAGGGAGUAGUUA